Molecule: ribosomal RNA, 679 nt
Filed under: uncultured bacterium
Lineage: Bacteria
Description: bacterial SSU rRNA
Rfam family: Bacterial small subunit ribosomal RNA
Source: RNAcentral
UGGGCAAUGGGCGCAAGCCUGACCAGCAACGCCGCGUGAAGGAAGAAGGCUUUCGGGUUGUAAACUUCUUUUAUUAGGGACGAUAAUGACGGUACCUAUUGAAUAAGCUCCGGCUAACUACGUGCCAGCAGCCGCGGUAAUACGUAGGGAGCAAGCGUUAUCCGGAUUUACUGGGUGUAAAGGGCGUGUAGGCGGGACUGCAAGUCAGAUGUGAAAACUAUGGGCUCAACUCAUAGCCUGCAUUUGAAACUGUAGUUCUUGAGUGCUGGAGAGGCAAAUGGAACUCCUAGUGUAGCGGUGAAAUGCGUAGAUAUUAGGAAGAACACCAGUGGCGAAGGCGAUUUGCUGGACAGUAACUGACGCUGAGGCGCGAAAGUGUGGGGAGCAAACAGGAUUAGAUACCCUGGUAGUCCACACCGUAAACGAUGGAUACUAGGUGUGGGGGGUCUAACCCCCUCCGUGCCGCAGUUAACACAUUAAGUAUCCCACCUGGGGAGUACGAUCGCAAGGUUGAAACUCAAAGGAAUUGACGGGGGCCCGCACAAGCGGUGGAGCAUGUGGUUUAAUUCGAAGCAACGCGAAGAACCUUACCUGCUCCUUGACAUCUCCCUGAACCGGCAAGUAAUGUUGCCUUCCUUCGGGCNAGGGAUGACAGGUGGUGCAUGGUUGUCGUCAGCUC